CUACGGGCGGCUGCAGUGAGGAAUAUUGCACAAUGGGGGGAACCCUGAUGCAGCAACGCCGCGUGGAGGAUGACGCAUUUCGGUGUGUAAACUCCUUUUAUAUGUCAAGAAAAUGACGGUAGCAUAUGAAUAAGCACCGGCUAACUCCGUGCCGGCAGCCGCGGUAAUACGGAGGGUGCAAGCGUUACUCGGAAUCACUGGGCGUAAAGGACGCGUAGGCGGGUUGGAAAGUCGGGUGUGAAAUCCUACAGCUUAACUGUAGAACUGCACUUGAAACUUCUAAUCUAGAGUAUGGGAGGGGGAGAUGGAAUUAGUGGUGUAGGGGUAAAAUCCGUAGAUAUCACUAGGAAUACCUAAAGCGAAGGCGAUCUCCUGGAACAUUACUGACGCUAAGGCGUGAAAGCGUGGGGAGCAAACAGGAUUAGAUACCCGGGUAGUC
This 439-nucleotide ribosomal RNA is filed under the name uncultured bacterium. RNAcentral describes it as "partial 16S ribosomal RNA". It matches the Rfam family "Bacterial small subunit ribosomal RNA", at positions 339 to 795 of the family's 1533-position model. The record is from RNAcentral.